AGAGUUUGAUUCUGGCUCAGGACGAACGCUGGCGGCGUGCCUAACACAUGCAAGUCGAACGGAGAUAAACGCUGAUGAUUUAGCUUGCUAGAGAAUCUUGUUUAUCUUAGUGGCGGACGGGUGAGUAACGCGUGAGCAACCUGCCUUUCAGAGGGGGAUAACGUCUUGAAAAGGACGCUAAUACCGCAUGACAUUGCGAGAUCACAUGGUUUUGCAAUCAAAGGAGCAAUCCGCUGAAAGAUGGGCUCGCGUCCGAUUAGGUAGUUGGUGAGAUAACAGCCCACCAAGCCGACGAUCGGUAGCCGGACUGAGAGGUUGAACGGCCACAUUGGGACUGAGACACGGCCCAG
This 350-nucleotide ribosomal RNA is filed under the name uncultured bacterium. Its description in RNAcentral is "bacterial SSU rRNA". It matches the Rfam family "Bacterial small subunit ribosomal RNA", at positions 8 to 334 of the family's 1533-position model. The record is from RNAcentral.